This 453-nucleotide long non-coding RNA is filed under the name Phascolarctos cinereus (koala). RNAcentral describes it as "lncRNA (ENSPCIG00000018737.2)". The record is from RNAcentral. Lineage: Eukaryota; Metazoa; Chordata; Mammalia; Diprotodontia; Phascolarctidae.
GUUUUUAAAAACCUGAUAAUAACAUUGCUUAAACUUUUAUAUCAUAUGUGUGUAUAUAUGUGUAUAUAUGUGCAUAUAUGUACACAUAUAUGUAUGGUGUUGUUUUUUUUUUUGCAGGAAUAGAAUGGCACAAGUGAUUAAAGAAGUGUAGAGUAUUUCUCAAGUCUGAAAAGGGUGGGAACUCCAUCAUGAUUUCAUUUUCAACUCUACAGCAUCCCCUUCCUUGAAAUUUUUGUUUUUUUACUGUAGUCUCAGGCUUCUGAGUGUCCAGUGCCAUCAGGUUGCUCCCAACCCCCUAGUGUGCACUCAAUCCAGGUGUGUUCAAAUCUCCAAUGCUAAAAAAUUUACCUAUCACCUCUUCACCUUCAAUCAAAAUUACUACUUUCUCAGUGCAGAUUAUCAAAACUUGAUAUUAAGAUGAAAACAGUCUGAUAGAACUAAUUCCCAUUAAGG